Long non-coding RNA from Bufo bufo (common toad), 177 nucleotides. RefSeq lists it as uncharacterized. The record is from RefSeq and is a predicted model, not a curated record. NCBI's taxonomy places the organism in Eukaryota, Metazoa, Chordata, Amphibia, Anura, Bufonidae. The transcript has 3 exons.
ACGGAUCUGGCUUUCCUGUGUUUAGUUUUUUUGGAAUAAAACCGUAGCGUGCUACAGUAUUAUCUCCAUCCUGAACAGUCAAAGACUGAAUUGAAGACAUCCUGAACGGAUUACUCUCCAUUCAGAAUGCAUGGGGAUAAAACUGAUCAGUUCUUUUUCGGUAUAGAGCCCCUAGGA